This 87-nucleotide transfer RNA is filed under the name Phycisphaera mikurensis. Its description in RNAcentral is "tRNA-Ser". It matches the Rfam family "tRNA". From Rfam's summary of the family: Transfer RNA (tRNA) molecules are approximately 80 nucleotides in length. Their secondary structure includes four short double-helical elements and three loops (D, anti-codon, and T loops). Lineage: Bacteria; Pseudomonadati; Planctomycetota; Phycisphaerae; Phycisphaerales; Phycisphaeraceae. The record is from RNAcentral. RNAcentral also lists the same sequence under 1 other name.
GGAGAGGUGGCCGAGUGGCUGAAGGCGCUGGUUUCGAAAACCUGUAACGGGUCACACCGUUCGUGGGUUCGAAUCCCACCCUCUCCG